RNAcentral lists this ribosomal RNA (253 nucleotides) under uncultured bacterium. RNAcentral describes it as "partial 16S ribosomal RNA". It matches the Rfam family "Bacterial small subunit ribosomal RNA", at positions 524 to 776 of the family's 1533-position model. The record is from RNAcentral.
UACGGGGGGAGCAAGCGUUAAUCGGAAUUACUGGGCGUAAAGCGUGCGCAGGCGGCUUUGCAAGACAGAUGUGAAAUCCCCGGGCUUAACCUGGGAACUGCAUUUGUGACUGCAUGGCUAGAGUGCGGCAGAGGGGGAUGGAAUUCCGCGUGUAGCAGUGAAAUGCGUAGAUAUGCGGAGGAACACCGAUGGCGAAGGCAAUCCCCUGGGCCUGCACUGACGCUCAUGCACGAAAGCGUGGGGAGCAAACAGG